Molecule: ribosomal RNA, 442 nt
Filed under: uncultured bacterium
Lineage: Bacteria
Description: partial 16S ribosomal RNA
Rfam family: Bacterial small subunit ribosomal RNA
Source: RNAcentral
CCUACGGGUGGCUGCAGUAGGGAAUCUUUCACAAUGGGCGAAAGCCUGAUGGAGCAACGCCGCGUGCAGGAUGAAGGCCUUCGGGUUGUAAACUGCUUUUAUAAGCGAGGAAUAUGAUGGUAACUUAUGAAUAAGGAUCGGCGACCUACGUGCCAGCAGCCGCGGUCGUACGUAGGAUCCGGGCAUUAUCCGGGGUGACUGGGUGGAACGAGGUGCGUAGGGGGCAUAAGAAGUAGCGAGUGAAAUCUGGUGGCUCAACCACUCAGACUGUUAGCUAAACUGUGAAGCUCGAGACCGUUAGGGGUAAGUGGAAUUUCUAGUGUAGGGGUGAAAUGCGUAGAUAUUAGAUGGAACACCAAUGGCGAAGGCAGGUUGCUGGGACGGUACUGACACUAAGGCACGAAAGCGUAGGGAGCAAACGGGAUUAGAUACCCUUGUAGUC